AGUCAUAGCCUGGUGCCUCAGCUACUGGAGUGCAGUUCUGGAGAACAGAGCUGUCAUUAAAAGAAACGAGCCUGCCUUCUUGUAUCCAAACACAAGAUAGGGUGAGAUUGAUUCAGCAAAACCCAGAGUCCUGUGAGUUAGCACAACCGGCUCCCGCGGAUGGCUGGCUGCGCGAGCUGGAGAAACCUCAUAGCACCUUGCACCAGUCGCACAGCUGCUGGCACACAAGAAACAAAGGACCCUUGAAAUAACUUCCUCAUGGAGGCAUGAGCAAAGCAUAUGUUGGACUUUAAACGUAUUUGCCUAGCGUGUUCUGGGUGCUACGAAAUGCAAAUAAAGACGCUGGCAUCAAAAGGGGAUGGAGUGCU
RNAcentral lists this long non-coding RNA (368 nucleotides) under Athene cunicularia (burrowing owl). Its description in RNAcentral is "lncRNA (ENSACUG00000005050.1)". Lineage: Eukaryota; Metazoa; Chordata; Aves; Strigiformes; Strigidae. The record is from RNAcentral.